UAGCUGGUAGUUUAGUGGUAAAACUCCCAGCUUUCAUGCGGGAGACCUAGGUUUGAUUCCUGGCCAAUUCA
RNAcentral lists this transfer RNA (71 nucleotides) under Loxodonta africana (African savanna elephant). It matches the Rfam family "tRNA". From Rfam's summary of the family: Transfer RNA (tRNA) molecules are approximately 80 nucleotides in length. Their secondary structure includes four short double-helical elements and three loops (D, anti-codon, and T loops). Further hydrogen bonds mediate the characteristic L-shaped molecular structure. tRNAs have two regions of fundamental functional importance: the anti-codon, which is responsible for specific mRNA codon recognition, and the 3' end, to which the tRNAs corresponding amino acid is attached (by aminoacyl-tRNA synthetases). tRNAs cope with the degeneracy of the genetic code in two manners: having more than one tRNA (with a specific anti-codon) for a particular amino acid; and 'wobble' base-pairing, i.e. permitting non-standard base-pairing at the 3rd anti-codon position. Lineage: Eukaryota; Metazoa; Chordata; Mammalia; Proboscidea; Elephantidae. The record is from Rfam by way of RNAcentral.